RNAcentral lists this ribosomal RNA (453 nucleotides) under uncultured bacterium. Its description in RNAcentral is "bacterial SSU rRNA". It matches the Rfam family "Bacterial small subunit ribosomal RNA", at positions 28 to 524 of the family's 1533-position model. The record is from RNAcentral.
GAUGAACGCUGGCGGUAUGCUUAACACAUGCAAGUCGAACGGGAUAUCUUCGGAUAUUUAGUGGCGGACGGGUGAGUAACGCGUGAGAACAUGCCCUUAGGUUCGGGACAACAGUUGGAAACGACUGCUAAUACCGAAUGUGCCGAGAGGUGAAAGAUUAAUUGCCUAGGGAUUGGCUCGCGUCAGAUUAGCUAGUUGGUAGAGUAACGGUUUACCAAGGCGACGAUCUGAACUGGUCUGAGAGGAUGACCAGUCACACUGGGACUGAGACACGGCCCAGACUCCUACGGGAGGCAGCAGUGGGAAUUUUCCGCAAUGGGCGAAAGCCUGACGGAGCAAUACCGCGUGAGGGAGGACGGCUCUUGGGUUGUAAACCUCUUUUAUCAGGGAAGAAGAUCUGACGGUACCUGAUGAAUCAGCAUCGGCUAACUCCGUGCCAGCCGCCGCUGUAAU